This 598-nucleotide ribosomal RNA is filed under the name uncultured archaeon. RNAcentral's name for it is "bacterial SSU rRNA". It matches the Rfam family "Archaeal small subunit ribosomal RNA", at positions 261 to 859 of the family's 1478-position model. The record is from RNAcentral.
UGAUCGGUACGGGUUGUGAGAGCAAGAGCCCGGAGAUGGAACCUGAGACAAGGUUCCAGACCCUACGGGGUGCAGCAGGCGCGAAACCUCCGCAAUGUACGAAAGUGCGACGGGGGGAUCCCAAGUGUUAUGCUUUUUUGUAUGACUUUUCAUUAGUGUAAAAAGCUUUUAGAAUAAGAGCUGGGCAAGACCGGUGCCAGCCGCCGCGGUAACACCGGCAGCUCGAGUGGUAGCUGUUUUUAUUGGGCCUAAAGCGUUCGUAGCCGGUUUGAUAAGUCUUUGGUGAAAGCUUGUAGCUUAACUAUAAGAAUUGCUGGAGAUACUAUUAGACUUGAAGUCGGGAGAGGUUAGAGGUACUACCGGGGUAGGGGUGAAAUCCUAUAAUCCUGGGAGGACCACCUGUGGCGAAGGCGUCUAACUGGAACGAUCUUGACGGUGAGUAACGAAAGCCAGGGGCGCGAACCGGAUUAGAUACCCGGGUAGUCCUGGCCGUAAACGAUGUGGACUUGGUGUUGGAAUGGCUUUGAGUUGUUCCGGUGCCGAAGCGAAGCUGUUAAGUCCACCGCCUGGGAAGUACGGUCGCAAGACUGAAACUUAA